Podarcis lilfordi (Lilford's wall lizard) is the source of this 75-nucleotide non-coding RNA. The record is from the annotation of a GenBank genome assembly. NCBI's taxonomy places the organism in Eukaryota, Metazoa, Chordata, Lepidosauria, Squamata, Lacertidae.
ACGGCCAUAGCUCAGUGGAUAAGCAUCUGUUUUUCAUGUAAAAGGUCCUCGGUUCAAUCCCCAGGUAGGGCUGGA